UGCGAGUGAAGCGGCAAAAGCUCAAAUUUGAAAUCUAGGGCCUCACAGCCUUCGAAUUGUAAUUUCGCGAUACGUUUUCGACCGAGGGCUCCGCCUUAAGUUCCUUGGAACAGGACGUCACAGAGGGUGAGAAUCCCGUGAUAGGUGGAGGUCGAGGCAUAUGAUACGUAUUCAACGAGUCGAGUUGUUUGGGAAUGCAGCUCAAAAUGGGUGGUAAAUUUCAUCUAAAGCUAAAUAUUGGCGAGAGACCGAUAGCGCACAAGUAGAGUGAUCGAAAGAUGAAAAGCACUUUGAAAAGAGAGUUAAAAAGUACGUGAAAUUGUUGAAAGGGAAGCGCUUGAGACCAGAAUCAAUCUUUAGCGAUCAUUUGGCUUCGGCCAGGUGCUCUGGCUAUUUAUUGGGACAGCAUCGGUUUUGACGGUGGGAUAAAGUCUUGAGGAAUGUAGCUAUCGCAAGGUAGUGUUAUAGCCUCUUGAGAAAUGCCACCAGUUGGGACCGAGGCCCGC
This 506-nucleotide ribosomal RNA is filed under the name Hydnocystis piligera. RNAcentral's name for it is "eukaryotic LSU rRNA". It matches the Rfam family "Eukaryotic large subunit ribosomal RNA", at positions 88 to 599 of the family's 3401-position model. Lineage: Eukaryota; Fungi; Ascomycota; Pezizomycetes; Pezizales; Tarzettaceae. The record is from RNAcentral.